UGGCUCUUAUAAUCAGUCACCUACAGUCACAGGCAGCCACACACACUACAGCUGUCCACAGAGAGCACAGAGCACAGACCUGCACUUACACACAGGACUGUGGAGAUAUACAGUAAAAGGAGCACAAUGAUGAGGGUCAGCCUGCAAACUCUGAUGGCAUUUCUGAUGUUGAGCCAUGCAGUAACAUCUGGAUUAGUGCCUAAACUGUUUGAAACAGCAAUGCCCUCUUCCCCUCAAACUGCUUUCACUCCAACAGAAGCCAGCACAUCGGGGAGCACUAGUGACUGGAACACUUCAUCGAUAACAGAAGCCGUCGCCACAUCAUCCACAAAUAUCUCAAUUCAGAGUCCGAACCCGAGCACAGAAAUCGCCACUUCCACUGCUACACAAACAGAAAGUUCCAUCCCUGUCACCAGCACCCCCAGCACAAGCAAUACAACCCCUGUCAACAACACCAGCACCCCCCAGAGUGAAAGCCCCACUGGUGCCACCACCAGCACUGAUCAUGGCACCCCUACCAGCACUGAUCCUGGCACCCCUACCAGCACUGAUCCUGGCACUCCCACCAGCACUGAUCCUGGCACUCCCACCAGCACUGAUCCUGGCACCCCCACCAGCACUGACCCUGGCACCCAAAGCACCAAUUUAUCCACUACACAAUCCACCAACCUUUCCAGCACUACUGCAGAACCCACUACCAACACCCCCACUACACAACCCACCACCACAGAUGCCUCCACCACCCCCUCUAAACAACCCACCACCGCCACCACCACCCCCGCUCCCACUACACAACACACCACCACCUCCCGCAUCAGUACCACCACUGGCCCCAUGACCAGUACCAGCAGCAGCAAAACCACCAUCAGUGCCACCAUCAGUACCCCCCGAACCACCACAGAGGUGCAGGAGCCACACAACUCCAAGGCUCUAAGUUCAGGAAGUGUUGCAGCCAUCGUCAUUAUGUUCAUCAUCACUGUUGUCCUGGUGUUAGGUGGGCUGUACUACUACAAAAUACGACGUACAUCAUAUGGACGUCUUUUGGACAGGGACCAUGGAACCUUCCACAACCCAAUGUAUGACCCUUGAAUCUUAGCUUUCGGACUGGAAUCCACGAAACCUCUAAGCCAAAGGCCGGAGUGUGCUAUAGUGUGUCCGUAAUGAGUUCAGAAUGGUCACAUUUUAUCACUGUGACAUACAGCCUGAUAACUUCAUUGCGCUUAGUUGCAAAAUGCUAAAGUAGUGACAGUGACAUUUCUACUGAUCUGUGUUCAGGUAACCUCAGGUUAUAAAAUUGCACAUUUUACUCGGGUAGCUUUUCAUCGGCUCUGGCUGCACAGACACCAUGCAUGAAAGGAGGCAGGUUAAAAUCACAGUGGCCACAAGCAUGUUCACCAGAGGUAUCCUGAAUUGUAAAUUAUACGUUUUCUGUCUGACAUGUACAAAAUAGAUCAUAUUAUGUUAACUCAACCGGGGUGUUUUUUUUUAAAAGUAACGAAGCUAAAACACAGCAAGUGUACAGAGAUAGCUUAAAGGUUCAGUAUGUAUACAUUUUCAACCUGUUGAAUUCAUACUACAAACAAAUAGGGGGCAACAAGCACAAGAGUAAAUGCUAAUGGCUGCUAACUGUAGCUGUUGUUAGCUAGUUAGCUCAGGUAGCAGUGCAGUUAGCAGUCUUAUUAGCUGGUUUUGCCUGGACUGGGAGUACCAGGGAAGUGUCGGUAUUGUUUUUACCAGUUUGGAAAGCACUUAGAGGGUAAUGCAGCAUGGACAUGGGUGCCAGAACCAGAACUGGGCUUGUGUGCACUGGAUCAGGGGUCAGCAGCCUCCCAAUUUUGAAUCUUUUUAACAAAAAUGUUUACUUAUUACACUUUUAAGGCAGUAGGAGUAAUGAUAGGUGGGAAGAACCUCACUGACAAUUUUCAAAAAUAGGGCCCUUAAAUUGUGUGAUUUACAAAGAGCAUGCAUGAAUCGCAAAUAAUGUAUAGUAGAUCUUUAUCAUGACAGAAAAUGUGUUUUUUUUAAAUCAUGGAUUGUUCUUUUAGGCACCUGUGGAGCUAUUUUCUUACCUAAACUGUGAAAUUAGAUUUCUGUCGCUAAUGUAGCUAAAUGUUCAGAUUUUCGCAUUUUCACUGACCUAAUUGUAGCUGGCAGAAAACAUUGUAGUUUUGUAACCAGGAAAGUGAAAGCUGAGGCUUGCUUGCACAAAAUGUCUCCUAUGAGCUGGGAAGUAGACUUUUUAGACAACAUAAAGAGGUAUUGGCAGCUAAGGAGACUGCUUUGAGAAAAACUUUACAAGGGGAGUGAUAUCUCUUGCAUUCAUCCUGCUGACAUGGCCUUGAGCAAAACACUGAAUCCUUUCCUGCUCUAUGAGCUGAUCUGCUGCUGAGCCUGACUUUGACCUCCCUGUGAAGAAAACAAAAAACAAAUGUUUUUUCAUAGCAAUAUUCUAGAAUGAAACUAGAGAUUUUAGAAAAAUAUCCUAGAAAAUCUUAUUCACAUGUACAGGACCUCCCACACCUGAUCAACUACUGUUUAUAUGAGUGUGUAAUGUGAGUAUUUAAUUACAUGAGUUUUUUGUAUUACUGAAUGUUGUUAUUGUGAAAUUCUCCUCAUGUUUCAGUAUGACUUCACUUAGCUGUGCUAAGUAGCUCAGCCAGGCUGCAGUUAUGAUAGUGAUUUUAACUCCUUCAGUAUUUAAUAUAGUAUUUUCAGUUUACAUUCAGGUAAAGAGUGAUGUGACUGUUGUGAUGCUCUUGAAUGAAUUUAUUUCUGUGGUAAGAUUGUAUUAAAUUGUUUAUGCAUUAAAAUUGAUUGAAUAAUGUGAGUCCCUGUUAUGGUCAUUCAGAAGAAACCCAGAGAGAUAGUUUACAUGUAUUUACAGUAUA
This 2888-nucleotide long non-coding RNA is filed under the name Sparus aurata (gilthead seabream). RNAcentral's name for it is "lncRNA (ENSSAUG00010017678.1)". The record is from RNAcentral. Lineage: Eukaryota; Metazoa; Chordata; Actinopteri; Spariformes; Sparidae.